GCCUGGCUAGCUCAAUCAGUGGAACAUGUGACUCCUGAUCUCGGGGUUGUGGGUUCAAGUCCCAUGUUAGGUG
Molecule: transfer RNA, 73 nt
Filed under: Felis catus (domestic cat)
Lineage: Eukaryota; Metazoa; Chordata; Mammalia; Carnivora; Felidae
Rfam family: tRNA
About the family: Transfer RNA (tRNA) molecules are approximately 80 nucleotides in length. Their secondary structure includes four short double-helical elements and three loops (D, anti-codon, and T loops).
Source: Rfam by way of RNAcentral